RNAcentral lists this ribosomal RNA (253 nucleotides) under uncultured bacterium. Its description in RNAcentral is "partial 16S ribosomal RNA". It matches the Rfam family "Bacterial small subunit ribosomal RNA", at positions 524 to 776 of the family's 1533-position model. The record is from RNAcentral.
UACGGAGGGUGCAAGCGUUAUCCGGAUUCACUGGGUUUAAAGGGUGUGUAGGCGGGCUGUUAAGUCAGUGGUGAAAUCUCCAGGCUCAACCUGGAAACUGCCAUUGAUACUAUCAGUCUUGAAUUUUGUUGAGGUAGGCGGAAUAUAUCAUGUAGCGGUGAAAUGCUUAGAUAUGAUAUAGAACACCGAUUGCGAAGGCAGCUUACUAAGCAAAUAUUGACGCUGAGGCACGAAAGCGUGGGGAUCAAACAGG